RNAcentral lists this ribosomal RNA (466 nucleotides) under uncultured bacterium. RNAcentral's name for it is "bacterial SSU rRNA". It matches the Rfam family "Bacterial small subunit ribosomal RNA", at positions 28 to 507 of the family's 1533-position model. The record is from RNAcentral.
GAUGAACGCUAGCGGCAGGCUUAAUACAUGCAAGUCGAGGGGGCAGCAAUGUUAGUGGCGCACGGGUGCGUAACGCGUAUGCAACUUGCCUUUAACUGGGGGAUAACGUUUCGAAAGAGGCGCUAAUACCGCAUAAUACAGUGAAGACACAUGUUUUAUUGUUAAAGCUCCGGCGGUUAAAGAUGGGCAUGCGUAGGAUUAGCUAGUUGGUAAGGUAACGGCUUACCAAGGCGACGAUCCUUAGGGGUUCUGAGAGGAAGGUCCCCCACACUGGUACUGAGAUACGGACCAGACUCCUACGGGAGGCAGCAGUAGGGAAUAUUGGUCAAUGGGCGCAAGCCUGAACCAGCCAUGCCGCGUGCAGGAAGAAUGCCCUCUGGGUUGUAAACUGCUUUUGACAGGGAAGAAAUCACUUAUGCGUAAGUGUCUGACGGUACCUGUAGAAUAAGCACCGGCUAACUCCGUG